Long non-coding RNA from Chroicocephalus ridibundus (black-headed gull), 798 nucleotides. RefSeq lists it as uncharacterized. The record is from RefSeq and is a predicted model, not a curated record. Lineage: Eukaryota; Metazoa; Chordata; Aves; Charadriiformes; Laridae. The transcript is spliced from 3 exons.
CGUAGCUCUGUGUGCCAGAUCACGCCGGAGGCUGCAGUGCCACGCAGAGUGGCAAGAUGGGCUGGACACCCAGCUGACCCCUCUCAAGCCACCAAACCUAUUGUCUUCAGGCUCGUCUCAUUAAUUUUUGAGGAUUCUGUGAGUUCUGUGGAAAUUUUUUGGCCUCCAGGUGCUGGAGCAGGGAGCAGUGGUAGAAGAAGGAGGCUGGACAAUGGAACAGCUAUGUUACAUCUGUCAAAAUCUCAGAUUCUGCCUGUCGAGGAACUGAAGCUGAGUUUUGGUUAUUCUCUGCUGAAGCACACGGGUUGCUGCAAAGUCAAAACCUGCUUACAUAGCCAUAGAGGAAGAUCAUGUACCUGCUUGCAGCCUUUCAUAUCUAUUAAACUUAAUCAAGUUUGCCAGGCAACAAAUAAGAGACAGGAUCACUUGUGUGCUGUAUUACUCCACUGAAAGGCCUUUUAACAAUUUGCUAUUGUUUGAAAAAAAUUGCAUGUCAUCUGUAUUAGUCACAGUCUUCCUCCCAGGAACAUAACCUUAAUUACUGUUACUAGGUUUGUGUGCCUAAUGUAUUUGGUCCCACCUAUUUUGCUUGUGAACCUGUUAUUUUCAAUCACUGCCUUAAAAAAGAAAUACUUCAUUAUUACGACUGUGUUGCUUCUUCACUAAAUGCCAUGAUAUUUAUUUUCCUCUAGGCUGGAGGGACGAGCAGAGUGUUAUGACUGCUUUUUUUGUCAUGUUAGCAUUCCUGGUUUUCUCUGUUACUCACAAAUUAUAAAUAUAAAUGGUUCAAAAUAAAAA